This is a non-coding RNA of Macaca mulatta (Rhesus monkey), 9382 nucleotides long. The record is from RefSeq and is a predicted model, not a curated record. Lineage: Eukaryota; Metazoa; Chordata; Mammalia; Primates; Cercopithecidae.
GACCUCAGGCUAUCUGCCCGCCUUGGCCUCCCAAAGCUCUGGGAUUACAGGUGUGAGCCACCACGCCCUGCCAAUUUCAGCUUUUUGAAUGUGCUUCUUCCUUUAAGUGUGGAAUGCUGUCAUACACAUUCGACUUUAUUGCUUCAGAGGAUUGGAUAGCACCCAUUUCAUGAUGGGUAACUCAGGUCCCGUGGGCAGUUAGUGUCUCAUGGUUAGGCAUUUAGUCUCUGCCACGGCCCUGUAGCAAGCCAGGAACAGCUUCUCAGAAGAAGAAUAAAUGUUAACAAAGAGGGCUGCUGGAGGUCCGCACUGUGAUUCUCUUCCUGGGGCUUCCAGAGGUCCCAUACAGCCUCUUGACUGACCACAGACACUUAAGGCAAGGUUGGCUGGCUUUACUGAGUCAAAGGCCCCAGUGGCAGGGCUGCUUGUUCCUUGCCACUUCUUUUCUGGGCCUCUUUCCCAGCUCAUUGCCUUACAGUUCCUUGGUAAAGGGGUCAGAGCAGCAUGCCCGUUGUGAUAUGAGCUGCCUGCAAAACCCAGAGAGGCUCAGGGCUAGCCCAUGCGGAGAAUUAGAGCAACUGAGAAAUGCAUCCUCAAUUGCUUCCUGCCCCACAGGUCCAGGGUAUGCACCUAGCUUGAGCUACAAUGAUUUCUGCUAAAGUUUCUUUUGGGAGCUGUGGAACGCUAAUCACUGCCUCAGAGGGAGAACUGGCUGGCAGCCCUCUGCUGGGUAUUUUCCUGAUGCCUCGUUCUCCUGCAUCAAUCAAUUAUUCACAUUUGUUUUCUCCAGCUAGUUAAUUAAACACAGAUACUGUGUCUGUGUGUUUCAGUGCCUGAGUUGUCACAGCACCUAAUUUGCAAGAAAACAUAGUUAGGCUGGAUUCCCUUUUCCCAGCUCUCUGUAUGUGGCGGGUGACUCUGUAACUGGGUUGCAUCUCUCCAAGCAUCGGCAGUAACCGAAUGUGUAGAUGAGGACCCUGCAGUCAACCUUCCUGGUGUUCCGGGAGUCUUUGCCUACAGUGUUCCAGAAGAUCCUGGAGGAGACACAGAAAAUCCGGUUUGUGGGGAAAGAAUGCGUUCCGUUGUCGAGGAACUUCAGUUGCUAGAAAGCUGCUUCUCAGUUUGAACUUUGCAGAGUCACGCAUGCCAGUCAGCACUCAAGUGCCAGUCUAUUCCCUCUUAGGUAUUUUGAUUUCAAUUAGGAGACCUUGUUUAUUGUGUUAAGGUGUCAAGCGUUUAGCUUCCCAAAGACAUGUUUAGUUGUAAGGAAAAGAUCUUUCUUUAAAAUAUCGAGUUCUCUAUUAAAAACAAAUGAAAAACACAGAACAAAAAAAAACAAAACAAAAAAUAUCAAAUAAAACCCAACCAUUAUAUCCUCGAAUAAAAUGCGUCUUUCAAUUCACCCUAAAUUUUCAAUAUUAGGUUUAAAUCUUUUUGGAUUAUGGGCAUGGCUUUGGGGAUUCCAGUCAUUUUUUUUUAUUUACAGGUGAGAAACUUUUGGUCCAGGAAGGAACUACACGGGUCACCUGCCUUUGCCAGAAUGAAGAAACCCUCACUUCUGACUGGUUCAGUAAGUUUUCUUUCCACUUGACUUUCUCUUUCUCAUGACUACCUUUAUUCAUUUUUGAUAAAAAUUUACUCUAAACUUAAUCUUUUCCAAAGUUAUUUAUUUGAGUUUGUCCACUAGAGUCCUCAUAAGAACCAGCCUUAUAAUUUGGUAAUAAAGCCUCAGUUUACUGUGGACACCACUGUUUUCUCAAAGGGCUAGGACUCCUUGCAGAACGGCAUGUGGACAGCAUAUUCAGAAAAGACCUAAUAAAGGCAUUGAGGGUCACUCAAUAGUAAGCACUGGCCAUGUAUGUACCAAACACUGGGUGAGCAAGUGGAUUUCACAUCCAUACAGAGUUGUGUUGAAUAGUUUUUGAAUGUAUGUGGAGGCAUAUAUAAUAUAUUGCAAGUAAAUGAAAAACAAAAAGAGAUAUUUAAGAAGUAGUUUUACCAGUGGGUCAAGUAUCUCAGGCCACAGAACUGUCCAUUAGUCCUGAAGAUUUCAUCACUCCUGAAGACAACACAGCCACUAUCUGGGAACAUCAUUAGCCUCAAAGAGGUCUCCUCCUGCCUUUUGGAGUUUUAUGAAUGUUCAUCCUUCUGCAUGGUGACUUUGAGAGCUUGGCCAGGGACCUGUGCUCUUUUGUCGGUGUGCAUGAACUUGAUGUGUCCUUAACAGAUAUGUAUAUGUAACAUUGCCUGUUGAGUACCUCCUCACAGCCAGGAACUUGUGAUCAAUUACAUCUCAUUUUCCUAAACCCCUGUGAGCAAUAGUAUGCCUGUUUUUCAGAUGAAGAAACUGAGGCAGCGCAGAGGUUCAGUAACUUGCCGAGGUCAUAUAAUAAGUGGCAGAACUGGACUCAACCCUGGGUUGGCUUAAUUCUCUUUGUUCUUCUCCUUCCUUCUAUCAUGCCCCAGAAUGAUCAACUUAAAGAACCCUAGGGUUGUCUGUUGUAGAGAUCAACUCUUUAAUAAUUAGCAGCUGCAUUUCUCCUGGGAUGCUCUGGUGGAAAUGAGCAUCCCAUGGAAACUGCACAGCACACUCCCUUCUGGUCCACUGGUCUACAUGGGAGAGGUGGAGGUCAGGGCAUUGCCUCCUGUGGAUAGAGAUCCCCAGGGCUGACAUUGGGACAGUUCUACUGGGGUUGGAUAUGUGCUUCAUCAUGACUGCAGUCAAAUAGCUACAAGAUGUUUAUAGCCACCCAAAGGUCAAUAACAUCAGUUAAGUGCCUGGUCUAACUGCUUUCCAGAGGGUCAGGGUUUGGGGGGUUGGGGUGGGGUGGCUGGUGGGAGUAGGAGUGGAUCAUGUUAUUUCCUGCAGAACCCACAGCUCUCUCUUGCUCCCUGCUGUCUUCGCUGAGUGACAUUUGCACCAGCUGCUCCCAAAGGGAGUAGCUUUGGUGAAAUGUCACUGGCUUCAGCGGGGAUGGCCCUUCUCUGUCCUUCAUUUCUUCCCCUACUCCUCCUUUCCACCCCUCGAGUGACUUUUUUAUUUUGAAAGGACACUGCCUGGAAAUUCAAGUGCAGGAAAAAGUAAUUACAUUUUCUCUUCAGGUGUGCCUCUCAAAAAGCCUUCAAAUCAUCUCUGGCCAAAACACUGGGAUUAUUCCAAAGGGAAACAGGUAUUAGCAGCAGCUUUGGCGGCUUCGCUCUUUGGGUCUCACUGCUGCUUUUCUCCAUGCUAAGGACCAUGAUGACAGAGUGGUUGACCGCUUUGCCUCCCUUCCUUCUGCCACCCUCUCCCAGCAGAGGUUAAAGGUCUCAUUCAAUGUCACACAAAUAGUAAGUGAUGGGGCUCACCUGGCUUUGCAGCUGGGUCUGUUCAACUCCGCAGCUACUCUUUUAAUAACUUUGCUAUGCAAUUGCAGUGACUAUAUUUGCAGAACCAAAAAUUGAGAGGCAUGAUCUGACGAAUAUUUUCUAUUCCUGAUUUAUUGCUUUUUUCAAAUUUUUAAUAUGAAAAACCACGCAAAGGUACAAAAAUGAAAUCACUUUGUUAUGCACACAUCUAAAUAACAUAAUCAUUAUUGGAAAGAAGAAAUUACAUAAGACUGAAAUUGACCCAAUCUUAUACUGGGAAAUCCAGCUCAUAGAGUUGCUAUUUGGUGAGAAUUGCACUUGACCAGGAGCUAAGAGGCCUAGAUUCAGGUCCAGGUUUGACCUUUAACUAGUUGCAUUUUCUUGAUUAAUUUACUUCCCCCCUUUGGGCCUUAUUUUCUCAGUUGGUGAAGUGAGAGAGAGUUGGCUCAGAUGAUGCCUCAGGGCCUUCCUAGCGCUGAUAUUCAAUGGCCUUGUAAUUCUAGGUAUAGAUUUCAUCAGUUGGGCUGUCAGAGACACACAGAUGAGAUCCUUCCUUUGGAAAUGAGUUUUGUUCCUCUCCUGCUUUAGAUUAAUCCUGACAGCAUCUGAAUCCAGUCGUUUGUUGUCUGGAACCCUCUCAUGUUCCCUGGGAGUCUACUAUUUUUUAUAGGCUCAACCCUGGGAACAUGUUUUUCUGAUUUUUCCAGGAAAAUGAUCUGUUUGGACUCACCUCAUUGCUUGCCCCUUUCCCUUUCUUCAACCUAGACUCCCGCCUUCUUCUGUCUACCCUUCCCUGUACAUCCCAGCCCCUCCCUUCCUGCUGCUCCUAAUUGAUGCCUCCCCAGUAUCUCCUGCUGUCUUUUACAUUUCAGUCAUUCUCUGCACAUAAAUCGAGGUUCAGCAUUGCCUGUAUGGAAAGGGACAAGAAAACAAGGCCAGUCAUGCUUGGUUCGACUGUUGCUGCACAGCCAUCUCUCUUCUCUUCCCAUCUUUUCCUUUUCUCCAUGCUUCCUCCACUGCAUUUGUGUUUUUCUGCACUUUCCACAUGUCUGAGACUGUGCUAUUGAAGAUAACCAGAGAGUCUCUUCUUGAAGCCCAAUAGCAAUUUCUCCUGACUUUCCUUGACCUUUCUGCAGCAUCUGGCACUGGCACCUCUACCUUUUGAAACACUCUUAUUUGGCUUCAAUUCUCACUGCACUGUCCGACUCUGUCUCCUUCAUUUUGUACUCAUCCUUUAUAAGUGGACAUGUCUGGAGGUCCUGACUCUGACUCAUUUUCUACCCUUUCUCAGAGAUUUCACCUAUUUUUGUUGCUUCUACUAAAUCUCUUUGAGGUUUGACAUCAAGUUUCUAUCAGCCCCAUGCACAUCUUCACUUGGGUGUUCCAUUGUCACCUUACUCAACAUGUUUGCAAUGAAACUUACCAUCCUCCAUCAAAACCCGCUUCUCCUCCAGAUUUCUCAUUGCUGUCGAUUUCUGUCAGUUAAGUGGGUUUGAAAUCUAGUCAACGUCCCUCAAUCCACUUUCUUCCUUACCCACUUCUCCAACCAGUCACUGCAACUGAUCUAUUUGUUAUCUGAUCUAUUUGUUAUCUAUAUGUCUCUUACAUACAUCUUCCUACGUCCCUCCUAUUUCCACUGCUACCUUCCCAGUCCUGAUUCACAUGAAGAAUCUCUUCACUAGUCUUUAAUUUACUGAUUCUCCAACCCAUCCUGUUUUCCUGUAUGCCAAUAACCUGCCUAAAAUAUCACUUUGCAUAUUUCUCUGUAUCCUUCUGCUUCCUGUAUUCUCGAUCACUAAACAAACUUUCAGAAGUUCCCAGAAUAACACCCUAAAGUCUCAGGCUGACAUUGAAAGGCAUCCAAAAUGUGGCCCUAUUCUAUUCUUACUUCACAUUAGUUUCCACAUAAAUACAAUUUCCUGUAGAUAAAAACAUAUACUUUGUCUGCCGCUUUGUUUAUCCAGAACUUGCUCCUCUUCAGUCCCAUGUGCUUGGGCAAGAAAAUGGGCCUCCGUGAGUCUGAUUCUGCAACUAUAAAAUGGCCAUGAUCCCUUCUCUGAUUUCCUUUGGGGGGUUGUGAGGAUGAAAUUUACUUAUUCAAGAAGCAUUUCCUGAAGAGGUCCUGGGGACUGGCAAAGAUAAGUAAGUUACCGUCUCUCCCCUUUAGGUUGCUCAGGUAAUUUGAGGAAGCACACACUUAAAAAACCCACAUUGUCAGUAGGAUGGGGUGAGCAAGAGUUCACUGGCACGCACACUGUGCCCCAGCUUGGCCCCACCCCACCAACCUGAGACCUGCUCAGCUCCUUUCUAAGCCACCCUCCAUCAAGGACUACCUGUCCUCCUCCCUUUCCUCAGGGCCCAGCUCUCCCUAAUGUGAAAAUGAGUGAUAAUGGAUGCUAAUUUAAUGUGUUACUUCUUCCAGGUGACAUAUUUACAUUUUAAUAGCAGAAAAUUCAAAGGAGGAUAUUUUAAGCGCUGUGGCAGGUGGGUGGGGACAUAUUUUGAGUUAGGGAGGAUUUGGGGGACCUUAAAUCACACUGGAUAGGCACCUACUGAUUCUAACUCCUAGGAUUGGCUGCUCUCCAGAGUCCAGAGAUGAGGAUCGCCUCCCUGGGCUGUGCCCCCUCCCUAUCUGAUGGGAGUACUUCAGAGUGUCGGACUCCCGGGGCAAUGAUGGAUGAGACAUCUGCUCCAUGAUGGGCUAUUACCAACAAUUCAUUACUGCAAAAUGGACUUACCCUCAUUAGCCCAGGAGCUCUGAGUUUAAUGUGGCAUUCUGCAAUCUCACAGAUUCUGCUGCACACAUUGAAGGCGUGCAUCACAUUUUACAGAGCCAGGAAACCUGAACUUCAGAAAACAAUGGAGAUUUAGCAUGCCUCUUGAAUUAGUUGACAUAUUUACUCUUCAUGAAUAAGCCUGUUUUGUAGACAAACACUGUAGCUCACUGUUUCAUUAUUAGAAAUUAAUUCACUCCACUGCUCUGCCCAAGGGCACAGUUCUCCUUGGGGAGCAGUUUUGCCCUUAUCAUGCUAGUGCUUGCAGUAGGUGACUAGGUUUCUGAAGUUCUGACCUGGGAAUGUUUCUCGAGGGGCAGUUCUGGGAAAUGGGCUGGGUCUGUAGAUCUCUGCAGGCGCUUCAUCAUGAGUCACUUGUGUGAAAUUUGCACCUUCUGCAUAGGAGUAUUUGGGAAGAUUUCUUUUUCCCUCUGUAAUGUGUCCCAGCAAAACCAUCAUCAUAUAUCCACAUUUUGGGGAGGAGCGAAUUAUCCAGAACCAGUAUUCAGUUCAAAUAAUGUGUGACAGACACAGUGUCAAUUUCCUAAACUUCUGAUAUUGUAGGUACUGCUGUUGAUGCAUGAACUCCCUGUCUGGGUUUAGCUUAUCCUUGGGAAAUUACCCAGCCAUUUGUCACAUCCUCACAAAUGACAGUUCUUCUAGGCUUCUAUUCCUUCAAUAGCUCAGGGAUCUCUGAGGUCUCUUCUAGAUAGAAGAUUCUAUGUUGCCAUCUCCCAAAUCAGCAACUGGGGGAUUUUUUGAAAACCCAGACCCCAAAUUGCAGAUGUCCCACCUCAUUGCUGGUGGUAAUGGUUGAUGAGGGAGAUAACAUUUUUGGGGCCAAAGCACAGUCAGUUACUUUCUUUUUUCCCUUAGGAGUUAAGCUUGGUAAUUCAUUUCUGUCUGUUAAGUCUCACAGAUACAUGCAGUAACCUGUCUUCAGGCUUCAAAGUGCUUAUUCAUUUUUAGCCAUUUAUUCCUUUCACAAAUAUUUAUUGAAUGCUCAUUAAGUGUAAAGCACUCUGUUAGGUACUGGGGUUGUACUGGACAUGGAGUUUCCCUAAACAGCAAGAGACUGUUUAGCUCCAGCACAGACACAAUCCAAUUAGAUUUAUCAAGUACUUGUGUAUCUGUAGUGGAUCAGGGCCUGGGGUACAGGAAACCCAGACACUCCCUGAAAGGCACACAUGCCAGGUAUACACGCUCUUCUCUGAGGUCAGAUUAAGAUGCAAGCUUUUGUGCGUAGUAUUCUUUCUUCUCUCACGCAGCCUGCUUCCUUCCCGCUCAGUGAAGGGGACUCCCAGCCCAUCUUUCCAGACCACAUUUCCAUUAGGAUGCUUAUCCUAGAUUUUUGAUGAUUUCCCACCAGGAUUACAUGGAAAUACUGGGAAAAUGUCUUUACUUUUCAGCAGAAAUUUUUAUCAGCUGUCUCACCAGCUUAAGUGUCCUUUCUCAACACCAACUUUCUAUGCAUUUUUGUAUUUCCAUCCUUAUCCUGAUAGAAAAAUCAAGGAUCCUGUAUAAUUUCCACUUAGAACAGGCUGUGUGACUUGGGGCAAGUUUUUACCUGUUCUCCCUUUCCUCAGAGAAAGGGAGGAUCCUGUAUAAUUUCCAAGGAUCCUCCUGUAUAAUUUUCAUGGACAUUUGGUUUGUUUCUACUUUUUGACUAUUAUGAAUAAGACUGCUAUGAACAGCCAUAUAGAAAUCUAGGUUUUCAUUUCUCUUGGGAAGAGUAGAAUUGUUGGGUCAUAGGGUGAUUCUAUGUUACCAUUUGGUGGACAUGCCAGAUUGUUUUCUAAAGCAACUGCACCAUUUCACAUUUCUACCGGCAAUCGGUCAUUAAUUCUCCAUCAAGGCAGGGACCAGCCACUCUCCCUGAAGAGUAUAAGGAAAAGAAGCUACAGUUCCCACUCCCGUUGCUGGUUUUAGGCCAUAACGAAUCUUCAUUGCCCAACCACCUCCAUUACUGAUUCUAGAUUUCUCUCACCUCCAGCUCGAUUGCUUGCGCAGUGGGUUGCUGAGUGUGCUUUUCAACUUUAAAGUGCAUCGAAUCAGCCGGGAAUCGUGUUAAAAUGCAGAAUCUGAUUCAGUGGUCUGGGGAGGGACCUGGACUUCUGCAUUUCUAGAAGCUCUCAGGUGAUGUUGAUGCUGCUUGUCCGUGGGCACAUUUGGGUAGCAAAGAACUAGGCUAUAUUUAUCUUUGCUUGCCAUUCCCUUGCUAAACCAUGGUUGCUGCAAUUGCCCCUUUAUAGUUUUUGCUGGGUUUCAAGCACCUAGAAAAGCCCCCACUGAAACCCCCAGGUUCUAGAAAGAAUCUUUCCUCCUCCAAUUGUGCAGCCACAACCACAGCUUCUUCUGGUAAUCAGGGUUAUUAAUCCCACCAGUACAAUCCCUGUGUUGUCCACUGGCAUGAGGUGUGCCAAGUGACUAAGUGGUAGUCAGCUUCAAGUUCAGUGGAACCUUCCUGGCCGAAGGGUUUCUUCCCUGACAACCAGACCUCUUAUCCAGCAGGGUCCAGACUAUAGACUGCACAAACUCUAUGAGUGAGUGGGAAGGAGGGUGAGAGAGGCAAGUCCUACAUCCACUCCUUGGUUCCCCGACUGUGUAUCCCUGCUGUUUUGGACACAGCACCAUAUACUAUGCCAACAUCACUGCUCAGUGCACAUACCACAUCACCGAUGAUUGUGUCCUAACCCUUUGGUGUGUUGUUACAGGGCAGGUGCCUUUGCUCAUUCUGCCAUUCCUUCAGUAUGCUGCUUUUGGAUGAUGGGGGCCAUAGUAAGACUGGUGAAUUCCAUGAUCACAUAUGCAUUGUGUCUCCUUUGCAGAAGUAAAGUGGCCCUAGGAGCCGGCAUGGUGACUGGGUGGCUGCUGGAUGGAGCUGGUUACCGUAGAACUGCUGCCUGGUCACAGCAGUGCAGCGCUGAUCCCUGGUGACAAUAGAGGUGGAACAGUGGUAAAGGGCCCAAGACAGAUGAGGCUGAGGGGAUCUGAGAAGAUCCAUAAGAAGAGUGUCAUACAGAGGGCUUGUGAUCUGGCUUAGAAAGCAAAAUACAAACACAAGGAAGAAGAAACACUGACCUCCACGGGAGUUUCAACAUAGUUCGGGUGGAGGGAGAGAAGGCAUAUGCUUCAGGCCUCAAGGAUCAGCAGACGUGCAGCUCUGAACAUCAGUAGGUGGUUUGUGUGUAUAUGUUUUCUCUUUUUUUCUCUACAGUGUAUUUACACUCAAGAUUGAGAUAAACAUCCAUUUGCUUUAA